This 369-nucleotide ribosomal RNA is filed under the name uncultured bacterium. Its description in RNAcentral is "bacterial SSU rRNA". It matches the Rfam family "Bacterial small subunit ribosomal RNA", at positions 917 to 1289 of the family's 1533-position model. The record is from RNAcentral.
GGGCCCGCACAAGCGGUGGAGUAUGUGGUUUAAUUCGAUGCAACGCGAAGAACCUUACCAGGGUUUGACAUCCUGCGAAUCUCUUGGAAACGAGAGAGUGCCUUCGGGAACGCAGUGACAGGUGGUGCAUGGCUGUCGUCAGCUCGUGUCGUGAGAUGUUGGGUUAAGUCCCGCAACGAGCGCAACCCCACGUCGUUAGUUGCCAGCAUUUAGUUGGGCACUCUAGCGAGACCGCCGUGAUAAACCGGAGGAAGGUGUGGAUGACGUCAAGUCAUCAUGCCCCUUACAUCUGGGCUACACACGUACUACAAUGCUACGGACAAAGGGCAGCAAACUCGCGAGAGCUAGCAAAUCCCAUAAACGUGGCUC